This 368-nucleotide ribosomal RNA is filed under the name uncultured organism. RNAcentral's name for it is "bacterial SSU rRNA". It matches the Rfam family "Bacterial small subunit ribosomal RNA", at positions 526 to 896 of the family's 1533-position model. The record is from RNAcentral.
CGGAGGGUGCAAGCGUUAUCCGGAUUCACUGGGUUUAAAGGGUGCGUAGGUGGGCAAGUAAGUCAGUGGUGAAAUCUCCGGGCUUAACCCGGAAACUGCCAUUGAUACUAUUUGUCUUGAAUACUGUGGAGGUCAGCGGAAUAUGUCAUGUAGCGGUGAAAUGCUUAAAUAUGACAUAGAACACCAAUUGCGAAGGCAGCUGGCUACACAAAUAUUGACACUGAGGCACGAAAGCGUGGGGAUCAAACAGGAUUAGAUACCCUGGUAGUCCACGCCCUAAACUAUGGAUACUCGACAUUUGCGAUAAACUGCAAGUGUCUGAGCGAAAGCAUUAAGUAUCCCACCUGGGAAGUACGAUCGCAAGAUUG